AAAAUGAAGUGACAUCUUAUUGACUUGUGUUUUCCCAGCUAUCACUAAGACGCGGUUUACAUCCUGUUGGGACCACCGAGGAACGCCUGGCAAAAAAAAUAAAAAGAUCCCUCCUAAAACCGUUUCCUCAACCUACGUGGGCCGCCACCAGAGGUGAUACAGCAAAGCAAACAAGCAGGUGGAGGGAGCGCCAAGAGAACAUCCUUAAUGUUGGAAGGAGGCGUGGCCACAACAAUCGCUCAGGAAGACAGUCCAAACACAACCUGCCCUCCAUGAAACCAAAAUAAAAGUUUCCACCUUUUAUUUUUUGCCUCCCUCUUCUCUCCUCUGUCUGAUGUCAUGUUUUUGUUUGGGAUGUGUGGUGGAUACAAGCCCAAUGUAGAUAAAAUAAGUUUCCAUGGAGACAAAUGGUGGACAAUAAAUUGCAAAAUGAAACAAUAAAUCGAAGGGAAAG
Long non-coding RNA from Hippocampus comes (tiger tail seahorse), 454 nucleotides. RefSeq lists it as uncharacterized. Lineage: Eukaryota; Metazoa; Chordata; Actinopteri; Syngnathiformes; Syngnathidae. The transcript has 2 exons. The record is from RefSeq and is a predicted model, not a curated record.